RNAcentral lists this unclassified non-coding RNA (629 nucleotides) under Arthroderma insingulare. RNAcentral describes it as "sequence contains ITS1, 5.8S rRNA gene, ITS2". The stretch from base 251 to 404 matches the Rfam family "5.8S ribosomal RNA". Lineage: Eukaryota; Fungi; Ascomycota; Eurotiomycetes; Onygenales; Arthrodermataceae. The record is from RNAcentral.
UCAUUAAAGCUUCGCCGUCGCAGAUACACCGGCCGUCCGGGCUUGAGACACAGCCCGGGCGGUACGGAUGCGUCGCCGGCGUUCGCCCAUUCUUGCCUACUGACCCAGUUGCCUCGGCGUGCCGUUCCCCAGUGGACGACCGGAAGCCUUAGGGACCUAGUGUCCCCGGGGCUCUGGCCAGCGCACGCCGGAGACAGUCUAAAACUCUUUACGUAACGGCCGUCUGAGCAUAUAAAGCAAAAUCAAUUAAAACUUUCAACAACGGAUCUCUUGGUUCCGGCAUCGAUGAAGAACGCAGCGAAAUGCGAUAAGUAAUGUGAAUUGCAGAAUUCCGUGAAUCAUCGAAUCUUUGAACGCACAUUGCGCCCCCUGGUAUUCCGGGGGGCAUGCCUGUUCGAGCGUCAUUGCAACCCUCAAGCUCGGCUUGUGUGAUGGGCGAACGUCCCACCCCUUAGGGGCGGGACGCGUCCGAAAAGCAGUGGCUAGGCCGCGACUUCGGCGCCUGAGCGAAUGGGACUUCCAGCGCUUCUAGGACCGGCCGGCACUUGGCCUUUAACCAAAGUCCCCCAGGGACUCAUCUAGGUUGACCUCGGAUCAGGUAGGGAUACCCGCUGAACUUAAGCAUAUCA